UACGGAGGGGGCUAGCGUUAUUCGGAAUUAUUGGGCGUAAAGGGCGCGUAGGCGGCUUAACAAGUCACUUGUGAAAUCUCCGGGCUUAACUCGGAACGGCCAAGUGAAACUGUCAAGCUAGAGUGCAGAAGGGGCAAUCGGAAUUCUUGGUGUAGCGGUGAAAUGCGUAGAUAUCAAGAGGAACACCUGAGGUGAAGACGGGUUGCUGGGCUGACACUGACGCUGAGGCGCGAAAGCCAGGGGAGCAAACGGG
RNAcentral lists this ribosomal RNA (253 nucleotides) under uncultured bacterium. RNAcentral's name for it is "partial 16S ribosomal RNA". It matches the Rfam family "Bacterial small subunit ribosomal RNA", at positions 524 to 776 of the family's 1533-position model. The record is from RNAcentral.